GUGGGGAAUAUUGGACAAUGGGCGAAAGCCUGAUCCAGCCAUGCCGCGUGUGUGAAGAAGGUCUUCGGAUUGUAAAGCACUUUAAGUUGGGAGGAAGGGCAGUAAGUUAAUACCUUGCUGUUUUGACGUUACCGACAGAAUAAGCACCGGCUAACUUGGUGCCAGCAGCCGCGGUAAUACGAAGGGUGCAAGCGUUAAUCGGAAUUACUGGGCGUAAAGCGCGCGUAGGUGGUUUUGUAAGUUGGAGGUGAAAUCCCCGGGCUCAACCUGGGAACUGCCUCCAAAACUGCAUGACUAGAGUACGGUAGAGGGUAGUGGAAUUUCCUGUGUAGCGGUGAAAUGCGUAGAUAUAGGAAGGAACACCAGUGGCGAAGGCGACUACCUGGACUGAUACUGACACUGAGGUGCGAAAGCGUGGGGAGCAAACAGGAUUAGAUACCCCUGUAGUCC
RNAcentral lists this ribosomal RNA (450 nucleotides) under uncultured bacterium. Its description in RNAcentral is "partial 16S ribosomal RNA". It matches the Rfam family "Bacterial small subunit ribosomal RNA", at positions 354 to 796 of the family's 1533-position model. The record is from RNAcentral.